CAGAGCUCGAAUUCAUCUUGUUUAGGUUUGGUAAACCCAUGUUAAACUAGUGCUCUUCCCUUGUUAUUUAUAGACAGGGUUUCUUUUAAAGGGAAAUUAAAGUUGAAAAUAAACCUUUUUACAGCUAAAAGGAAGUGUCUGUAGUGCCACAUGCUAAGGACACAAGAACACAGCCCUGUCUAAAAGAGAGUGCCAUAAAUUUUAUGUAAACACAUGAUCUCAUUAGAUUUAUAUCUAAUCCUAUUGCCUGCUGUUUUCCAGCCUCUUAGGGCAAGCCAGGCUGAAGAUGUGAUAGAUGGUCUUUAAAUCUAACCUUGAAGUGGGCUGGAAAUCAGGUGAUACGACUUUUGCCUCAUCCUAAUUAAGGCACUAUGAAAAAUCCUUUCAAGUUUGGCAUCACAAAGUAAUUUGCCUGGGUUUAAAAUGUAAUCUGGUUAAAGAUGCCUGAUAAGGUUUGAAGUCUGUCCAUGCAGGGAUGCAGACGGGCUCCCAGGCCCGCCCUUAAUUUCAGAAUCAGAGCAAGCUUUUUAGGAAGCAGGAACAGGAUUAUGUCGAAACCUUGAAUUUUGGAGACUUUAAAGCUUUGCAUUCUGGUCUUGGUUCUGUUGAAGGACUGGGAGGUCCAUCAGAUGACCUAAAUAAGGGACCAUAUACAGUGUUCAGCUCUGGGCCCCUCACUACAAGAGAGACAUUGAGGUGCUGGAGCGGGGCCAGAGAAGGGCAGCGGAGCUGGUGCAGGGCCUGGAGCACAAGUGUGAUGGGGAAGGGCUGAGGGACCUGGGGGGUUCAGGCUGGAGAAGAGAAGGCUCAGGGGGGACCUGAUGGCUGCCUACAAGUGCCUGAGAGGAGGAUGGAGCCAGGAGGGGCUGGGCUCUGCUCCCAAGGAACAAGGGAUGGGACAAGAGGAAACGGCCUCAAGCUGCCCCAGGGCAGGUUUAGAUGGAGCUGAGGAACAAUUCCUGCCCCAGAGGGUGCUCAGGCAUUGGAACAGGCUGCCCAGGGCAGGGCUGCAGUCACCGUCCCUGCAAGUGUUCACACAGCGUGGAGACGAGGCCUCAGUGCCAUGGGUUAGGGGUGGCCUGGGCAGUGCUGGGGUAAGGGUUGGACUUGAUGAUCUCAAAGGUCUUUUCCAACCUGGAUGACUCUAUAUGUCCAGUGUACUUUAUUCUUUUUGCUAGUACUUCUUCCCAGUGUUUUUUCAAGCCAUGAUUUCUCGCUGCACAGUGUUGGAUGUCACGUGAGAGUUGCUUAAAUUACCUCAGUUCAUCCUGAGACACCCCGAUGGGUGAUUUCUGGUUGUUUUAGAGUGUUUUGGUAGCUACCUUUGCAUGAUCUAAAAUGACAUGCAUUCCUCUUGUGACAUUGGGCUCUCUUUACACCCUUGAGGAGUCUGAAGCCAUAUGUCUGAACUUCUGUGGCUCAUCUCCAUUGAGUGAGAAACAGCUGAAAACAGAGAGAACUUUGCCAUGCAUAAUUACUGCUGGAUUUGGCAUGUGGAGACUCUUUCCUUUAACCUCAACAGGAAUUACUUCACAGAAGGAGUGAAACAGGAUGUCUUCUUGACAUUCCUUUCUGCUGAGAAUAAAGCCCUAAAAAGAAGAGAAUUGGUUAUAAAAAGCAAACUGCAGUCUUUGUGCUUGUCCAGUGUGGAGGAUGUCAUCCAAGCGCAGUGUUGGUUGUCUGUGCUGAGGGUGGUGCUGAAACUACUCAGUGGUUGAGCUGCUGUGAGGAGUCCAGCGCAGCUUUCCUGCCAGACCUAGAGAAGAGAGCCCAGAGAUGCUGUAGUUCUAAGUACAAGCUUCAUAAUGAAGAUUCUGGGUUUCUCUACAACUCACUCAUGCUUCACUUAUGCUUUUUCUGUUAAAUCCCUCAGGAAAGUUGGGCACAAUUUAAUGGUCUUCAGUGCAGCUCCAAGGCAGCUAUGGAGAGCUGCAAAAAGGACUUUGUGCUUUCCAUCUCAAAAGCUGUCACUGUUGGUAGGCUGCCCUUGGACAUGCUUGGAGAAUGGGGUGCUCCUGACACUGUACAUCAGAAACCAGAGCUCUGGCUGCUCUCCCAUGGAGGACACUGGUUGGCUUUCCCUGCCUUGAUGACUGAAGCUUUUUGCACUUCUUUCAGAACAGCUUUGUUCAGAUCUGGCCCCUGUAGUCAAUGCCAGCAUGUAGAGCCUGUGUUGUAUGUGAACUCUGCUCCAUUGCAUGUAAUCAGCUGGAAAUGCUCCCGUAAUGGGAGCAGAUUGCAGAGUUGAGUGUCUGUAAUGCUUUUAAGAAUAAAGGACAGCAUAUGCACUCAAACCAGA
This is a long non-coding RNA of Pezoporus occidentalis (night parrot), 2299 nucleotides long. RefSeq lists it as uncharacterized. The transcript has 2 exons. NCBI's taxonomy places the organism in Eukaryota, Metazoa, Chordata, Aves, Psittaciformes, Psittacidae. The record is from RefSeq and is a predicted model, not a curated record.